Long non-coding RNA from Marmota monax (woodchuck), 3088 nucleotides. RefSeq lists it as uncharacterized. The record is from RefSeq and is a predicted model, not a curated record. The transcript is spliced from 7 exons. NCBI's taxonomy places the organism in Eukaryota, Metazoa, Chordata, Mammalia, Rodentia, Sciuridae.
UCUGAGUCAAACAGCCAAGCUGUGGCUCAUCCAGAAUUAGGACAUCUAACCUGAACGGCUGAUGGGAAAUGAACUCAAGAACCACAUAAAACAUCAUUCAUGCAAUCAAAUACUAUCGUUCUUGUCUUUGGAGAAGGAAAGUAACAAAUAAACAAAACAAGCUACAUGUGAGAUUACACGUUCCUAAAAGAAGAGUCAAAUAGAAGAUGCUGGAGUGAGGCAAUGAAGGAAGAACUUACAGAAAACAAUACGUUUAGGCCACCACGACUUCUCAUCUGAUCUCCUUAUGGCUGGAAUGAAUUUUAAUAUUGUGUUCAUAUAUAAGGAAAUGCUGACACAGAGCUUACACAGAAAUAUUUACACAGAAGAAAAUGACGAUACUCAUGGAGCUCUGUCAAGAGGAAACCAGCUCACAGAAGCACCAAGGGAUGUAAUCUGCAUGUGAGUGUGAAUCAAAGCGACACUGAGAGUCUGAACAGCUCACCCUUGCCUAGAGUCAUUCUGCAACAGUCAAAUGAUUUCCAAGUGGAGGAAUAGUCAUCUGCAAGAUUGAAUUACCCACAGGAAACCUAAUGAUGGUUUUUCUCAACCUGACAAGGAUGGUACAGACUUUAAAGGGUACCCCAGAGGAGCAUUCAGGUGUCGAAUGCAUCAAAAGAGCAGAAGUGCAUCUCCAAAAAUUGAAUGAAUCUGUGCCGUUCCUUGUCAAUUUCGUGCUGCCUACAGUAACACUAUAACUGAAAACAGCAAUGAUGUCACUGGAAGUGCUCUGUUAUGACAAAGAACAACAGUAACAGUCAGAGGUGGCUCCUAAGAGAAUUCACAAUCCACUCGAAGUCCUCCAUGGGCUCAUCCUUUGAUUUGAAGAAGGAAUGAAAUAUUCUUUGCAUGAGAGAGGAGAGAUGGGAAGUGAUACCUAAGGAUGGUCAGUUCCUCUAAAGAUAGAUACAUGACAGGGUGAACACUGAUAUAUUUCUUAGGUUGUCUGUAACUAGCUCUGGGGGCCCAAAGAUGUAGUGAUGGCUGUGAAGGACAUUCCUUAACUGUCACACUUGUUGCAAUGAGUGGAAGGUGGCAUUUGUUUGGAAAUCCCUCCCCAGCCUUUGUUCCCAGAACCCAGCAUUCAUUUCCCUGUGCCUACAUACGUAGUUCCUUAGAUAAACACUACUACUGCAACAAAUCAUGGAGUGCCAGGCCUUACCAGAUGGUCACAUAGAAUUAAAAAUAUAUGCAAGAAAAUAAGUUCUAAAGUAAAAAUGUAUCAAGAUAUAACUCUCACUAAUUCCUAAAAUUGCCUGCUAUUAUAUCCAUGCUGCUACAGUCUUUAUCCACUCGAAUUUUUGUUUCUAUCAUCCUUCUUUGAAAUCCUCUGUACUUCUCUAGUCAUGAAAUCCUGCCAUUUAUUAAGGACAAGCUGAAGUCUCACCACCUUCAUCAACUCCUUCCUCACUAUCCAUGCCUAGUGAGAUAACCUUUCUGAAAUCCCACUGUCUUUUGUCUUCUAAUCAUGAUUGUCCUUUCCAGCCAUUUUAUAUUCUUCUCCUUAAUAGAAUCUAACUUCCUGGAUAGUGGAGUCCACUUUAAAAUUCUUCCUGUGCUGAACCCAUUGACAAGGUAGGAAAUAUCCUGUAGAGGAAAGAACAGGAACUUUGGAGUCCUCAAGCUAGAAGUGCAUUAUAUGUAAUUAUAAACUGUAACCUAAGCCAAGUCUAAUUAGAGGAAGUUUCUUUCAGGAAGAAACUCUUCCCUCUAUCUUCCCCCUUUCUUUUCAAAUGACAUUUUUUUUCUAUUUUUUCAUAGGGAUUAAUAUACUCUGAUGAAAUUAAGCUUCCUAGAUAUGAAUCAGGAUUUGAAUGGGUAUGAUUCUGGGAAAUUUACUCACUUCCGUUUGCCUCAGUAUCCCCAAGUAUAAAACAGCUUUAAAAUUUGCCUUUAGCAUCAGUUAGCACCACUGUCCUUAGUUAAUAUCCUGAAUGUUUAAAAAAAUACUAUUCAGGCUAAAGUGCUUAAAACAAUGUCCUACAUAUAAUGAGUGCUUAAUCAACACUGGCUAUUAUUUUAUAAAAAAAUUCUUUUGAUUAGUAUUCAAUUAAAUUGUCCUGGUUUUUCGCCAAGUAGACUUACACUUGGUUGAAUUUAGAACCAGCUUGCAGGCUGAAAACCAACAAUCUAGCAACAAAAUUUGUUUGGUCUACCUUGCACAGGACAUAGUUAUUGCUGGGAAAUAGCUGAGCCCCACACACUAUACUUUUCAGUCCUCUCCCCUUGCUUUCUAAUAGUGAGUUCUUGCAGAAGAGAAAUAAGCAGAAGUUAUAAGUGUCACUUCUAGUCCAACUAUGCCCCGCUCUCUUCUUCAUUCUUCUUUUACUGGAUUGAUGCUAAUAAGCACAGUGAUCUGAGAAGACACAUGUUAAAGAUACUAGGUCCAUUAGAUGGUUAGAAAGCCUGGGUCUCUGAUUUAGUGUCUUCAAAAAAGCAGUCUACCAAUCAACAAUAUCCAUAUUAGACUUUACAUGAGUGUCAAAUAAAACUCUCUCCUGUUGGAUCCAUUAUCUACUUUUUUUUCAGCAACUAGUAUCAUCCUAACAUGUUGCCAUUGGUAAGUUAGAGAGAAGAUGACUCAUCUUACCAAAAGUUAAUCAUUAAUUUAUAAAAAUAAAAAGAAGCACCAAGAAAAAAAUAUGUGGUGAUAUUUUCCUGUUUACAUGAUGUUUUUAUUUCAAGAAAAUUGUGUUAAGCUUGCAUAAUAGCCUGCCAGUUCUAAUCAUCCAUAAAUUUAAAUGUUCUGGGUUCAGGAGUGCAUGAUAGAGUAGAGACUCUGUGAAGUAAGGUCCUUAUUAAGAAGAUCCAGUUAUGGAGGAAGAAAAGCUUGGAGGAAAUGGUAAUUUAUCACUGUAACAAACACCAGAGGAAUUUUAAGUGAAGAAAUUGUGUAAGACCUUUGAGUUGUCUUCAGAGCUCUAAUGAAUGUUUCUUAAGGUGUAAUUAAAGUCUUAUGGAUUGAUUCAAAUACGCAUUUGUGAUUUUUCUGUUAUUUUACUUUUAAGUAUAUAAUUUGAAGACUGAAUAGGCAAAAAAAAAAAAAAAA